RNAcentral lists this long non-coding RNA (3020 nucleotides) under Gallus gallus (chicken). RNAcentral describes it as "lncRNA (ENSGALG00010025253.1)". Lineage: Eukaryota; Metazoa; Chordata; Aves; Galliformes; Phasianidae. The record is from RNAcentral.
CCCCCUCCAGGUACCGAGGAGGCUUUCUUCUUUUAACCCUGAGCACUCUCACAAGGGUCUUCCCACGAGACUGUAGGGAACUUAGCAGGUAAAUCUGCACGAGUGAAGGCCCCCAGGUGUCUGCGUGUCGGCAGGGCUGUACUCCACAUCCAUUUGGCAGUGCUUCGAUUCUUGGAAUGCCACAGGUUUUGGGCAGCUGCUGACCUCCUCAACGCAAUUAAACAAGGCUGGCAGUGGAUGCUGUCCCGGACUGAGAGGACCGUUCCUCAUAUUGUGUGGUUGUGGUCUGAGCAUCUUGGGAGUGGGAAGCUCUGGUUACCCAGAAAGAAGGACCCAGGCUGCCGGGCUGAGGGGCAGGAGCAUGCGCACAGGCCUUACCUAUGAAAAGUUUUGUGUUCCAGCUGACUUCCUCCAAGAGAGCUGCCAAUGUGCUUUUUCAUCAGGACUACGUGAAACACCUGAGUUCACUGGGACUGCAGGAAAACUGUCUCAGAGACAAAGAUACACAGCCUCCCUGGAUUGCUGGCUACAUGCCUGAUCUGAGGCAGGACCUAGGAAUCUUUUCCUGAAAUUAACGCGAAUUCAGGAGGUUUGUGUUUUAAGAACUGCACCCAGUCCUGUGAAAGCAGAGAUCGUCAGGGAGUACAAAGGCUGCAGUGCAACCUGUUGGUGCUUUAUGAAGUUGUUUUAGCAUGCUCCGUUGAGCUCUACGCUUACCUGCAUCAGAGAGAGGAACAGAGCAGUAGUAAGACGUUUUGGAGGCUGGCACCAACAGAGGGAAGAAUUAAAUAACGCUGUUGCAAAGGAUGGAAAAGGCUCAGAGGUGAUGCGAUGGCUCCAGGGGUGCUGACCUAUUCUUGCCCCAUGUGGGGCUGCUGAGCAUCGUGCAGCUCUUGGUGCUGCUGCUGUGUGCACUCAGGUGCCAGCUCUGCCAAACCUUCUGCUGUCCUGUCCUCAUACCAUGUGUCCUCAUCAAAAAAAAAAAACAGUGCAGCAAAACACAACAAGCAGUGUUAAAAAUGUGUUGCAGAUGUGGUAGUAACUCCCGGUUGCAAUAGGCAGAUGACUGUUUUUUCCUUGUUUCUGUCCUAAUAUUGGGUCCAGCUGAGACCAGGGUUUUACAUGUAACUACAGUGUCCCUGCCCUGCAGGUCAGGCACUGGUGAAACACAUGUCUGAAGAGAUGAAGAAACUUGUUCGGCAGCACGUGGUGCAGUCAGCGCCCUUCCCGUCUCCCAGAACCCCAACGCAUGGAGGCAGAACCAUCCUGUAGUUCUCUGCCACAGAGAUCAUUUUGCUCUCAGACCUUCUGCUGACCCUGAACGACUUUUGUUCUUUGAGAGCUCUUUUAUUUCUCUCCUUCUCUCUCUCUCUCCCCUCUUUUUUUCUGUUGUUGCUCAUAUUUUCCCCUCUCAUUAAUUAUACAGAUGUGCUGGGGGCCAUGUGCUUUGCCACAUCACAAAGGAAACCACAGGACUUCAGAUCAGAGGAUCUGCCAGAUGUCCUCGCCUGGCAGAGCACCGUGUGAGGGUCAUGGCUACAAGAGCAGGCUUGUCUGCAUCCAUGGGGCACAGCGGGGACAGCACCCAGCAAAGGGGCCACAUAGGAAACAAGCUUAGUGCAAGCACAGAGUAAGAGCUUUGGAUUACUUGAGUUCACUGCUGGGGUCUUUUUUCCCCCUUUAUUUGAGGCACUAACCCCCAGGAUUCCUUAAGACCACAGCUGCUCAUCUGUGCUUUGGUUGAACAUCACCUUAUUUCCUGACGAGCCCUUUGCCCCUUGGUGCAGUUUGCAAUUUCAAGUCCAGAACUCAGACCUUCAGGACUGCUCCUGCUUGGGAAAAUGUGCUGUUUGUGCGUGGUUCACUUUGUUCUUAUGUAGUCCAUUCUUUGGAGUGUCAGUAAGAGUUAUUAAAGGCAAUGGCUUUGAAGCGAUUGUUUUCUUCAGGUACCCACUCAGGACCAGGCUGUACGUUGUCUCCUUUGGCAGUGUCUCCAGCAGUCUGCUAGGGAGGCUUUUUCUUUUGAACUUGUAGAAAUGGCAGAGAAAAAUGGUUGGUUUCAUGUUUGGGACUAUGCUUAUUUAUCUUUUCUGCCUUCAGAAGGGUGACUCAAGAUUUAUUUUUUGCUGAGGGAAAUGGGUCCCAGCAAGGCCUCUGCAAGAAUGGCCUGAGAGUACAGGUCCCAUAUACGGAGGGGCAGGGAGAGGGAAGAAAGCCCCUGUGCUAUUUCUCUCUCUCAAAAGAAACACAAAGGGGAAAGCCAGCCACUACAUAUCCAGCUGUUAUCUCUGAUCUUGCUGCUAUUCUUUAACUAUUUUCUUUCACGUUAUUGAGAUUUGUGAUCAGCAGACACAUGGUUAACACAGGAGUAUAAAGUUUCCUUUCUGUCACUGGUCUCUGGGUCCAGAUUUCCACUCUGGUAAAAGCAGAAAUCGACAUCAAAAUAACACUUGGGUUUGUGCCCCUGUGCUUCUGGCUCUGGACCAAGCUUAUCCCAGGCUUAGCUGGAUAAUGCUAUAUUCAAACAUCACCAACAGACACCCAGUGUGUAGGAGGUCUUUGACACAGGACUGAAGGAUCCAUAGCAAUUCAGGCAUCCUUGGAAACUGUGCUCUCCUUCCCCUUAAGGCUGAUGACUUUGUCCUUAGUUAUAUUUGUCCGAGGUUUCCAUUAAACAGAUUAUAAUUCCAAAUUCUUAACUUUUAAGGUAAACGGGAAUGGCUCAUGGCAAAUGGAUUUGCAAACCCAACUAAUGCAUGUAAAUACAGGAUACCAAUUUCAACUAUUUGAUACAUUCACUCUGCCCAAAACAAGUUAAAACGAACGUGAAAUUUCAAUAGUCAAAAAAGCAAGGUGCAAAAUACGUGGCUAUUAUUGUUUUAUAACUGUCUACAAGCGUUCCACAAUUUUUGAGUGAGUGGAAAAUGGGUAUCUGGGUUAGUUUCUUGCUGCUCUUGGAUAUUCCAUUGGUGUCUUUUGCUGCUGAACACAGGAUAAAUAAAGAUCAAUCCCCUAUCGUC